This 73-nucleotide transfer RNA is filed under the name Candidatus Roizmanbacteria bacterium RIFOXYA1_FULL_41_12. RNAcentral's name for it is "tRNA-Val". It matches the Rfam family "tRNA". Rfam says of the family: Transfer RNA (tRNA) molecules are approximately 80 nucleotides in length. Their secondary structure includes four short double-helical elements and three loops (D, anti-codon, and T loops). RNAcentral also lists the same sequence under 6 other names. The record is from RNAcentral. Lineage: Bacteria; Candidatus Roizmaniibacteriota.
GGCCGCUUAGCUCAGUUGGUAGAGCAACCGGUUUACAUCCGGUAGGUCAGGGGUUCAAGUCCCUUAGCGGCCA